This 465-nucleotide ribosomal RNA is filed under the name uncultured bacterium. Its description in RNAcentral is "partial 16S ribosomal RNA". It matches the Rfam family "Bacterial small subunit ribosomal RNA", at positions 338 to 795 of the family's 1533-position model. The record is from RNAcentral.
CCUACGGGCGGCAGCAGUAGGGAAUUUUCGUCAAUGGGCGCAAGCCUGAACGAGCAAUGCCGCGUGAACGAGGAAGGUCUUCGGAUCGUAAAGUUCUGUUGAAGGGGAAAAAGAGCGGAGAUAGGAAAUGGUCUCCGAUUGAUAUUACCCUCCGAGGAAGUCACGGCUAACUACGUGCCAGCAGCCGCGGUAAUACGUAGGUGGCGAGCGUUAGCCGGAAUGAUUGGGCGUAAAGGGUGCGUAGGCGGCCUGCUAAGUCUGGAGUGAAAGGUACCGGCUCAACCGGUACAGGCUCUGGAAACUGGCGGGCUAGAGAGCAGGAGAGGGCGGUGGAACUCCAUGUGUAGCGGUAAAAUGCGUAGAUAUAUGGAAGAACACCAGUGGCGAAGGCGGCCGCCUGGCCUGUUGACUGACGCUGAGGCACGAAAGCGUGGGGAGCAAAUAGGAUUAGAUACCCGUGUAGUC